UCAGGUGGCCGCAGAGAAUAGGCCCAAGCGACUGUUUACCAAAAACAUAGGUUUCUGCUAAGUCGCAAGACGAUGUAUAGGAGCUGACGCCUGCCCGGUGCUGGAAGGGUAAGGGGAUCUGUUAGAGUAAUCGAAGCAGUGAACUUAAGCCCCAGUAAACGGCGGCCGUAACUAUAACGGUCCUAAGGUAGCGAAAUUCCUUGUCGGGUAAGUUCCGACCCGCACGAAAGGCGUAACGAUUUGGGCACUGUCUCA
Molecule: ribosomal RNA, 255 nt
Filed under: Clostridioides difficile
Lineage: Bacteria; Bacillati; Bacillota; Clostridia; Peptostreptococcales; Peptostreptococcaceae
Description: partial 23S ribosomal RNA
Rfam family: Bacterial large subunit ribosomal RNA
Source: RNAcentral